Molecule: ribosomal RNA, 210 nt
Filed under: Leucospis sp. D2287
Lineage: Eukaryota; Metazoa; Arthropoda; Insecta; Hymenoptera; Leucospidae
Description: partial 28S ribosomal RNA
Rfam family: Eukaryotic large subunit ribosomal RNA
Source: RNAcentral
UUUCCCUCAGGAUAGCUGGCACUCGCUUGAGCGAGUCUCAUCUGGUAAAGCGAAUGAUUAGAGGCCUUGGGGCCGAAACGACCUCAACCUAUUCUCAAACUUUAAAUGGGUGAGAUCUCUGGCUUGCUUGAACGUUGAAGCCACGAGAUUAUAAAUUGGAUCAGAGUGCCAAGUGGGCCAAUUUUGGUAAGCAGAACUGGCGCUGUGGGA